Molecule: ribosomal RNA, 1863 nt
Filed under: Bacillus velezensis
Lineage: Bacteria; Bacillati; Bacillota; Bacilli; Caryophanales; Bacillaceae
Description: bacterial LSU rRNA
Rfam family: Bacterial large subunit ribosomal RNA
Source: RNAcentral
CGGUUAAGUUAGAAAGGGCGCACGGUGGAUGCCUUGGCACUAGGAGCCGAUGAAGGACGGGACGAACACCGAUAUGCUUCGGGGAGCUGUAAGCAAGCUUUGAUCCGGAGAUUUCCGAAUGGGGAAACCCACCACUCGUAAUGGAGUGGUAUCCAUAUCUGAAUACAUAGGAUAUGAGAAGGCAGACCCGGGGAACUGAAACAUCUAAGUACCCGGAGGAAGAGAAAGCAAAUGCGAUUCCCUGAGUAGCGGCGAGCGAAACGGGACCAGCCCAAACCAAGAGGCUUGCCUCUUGGGGUUGUAGGACACUCUGUACGGAGUUACAAAGGAACGAGGUAGAUGAAGAGGUCUGGAAAGGCCCGCCAUAGGAGGUAACAGCCCUGUAGUCAAAACUUCGUUCUCUCCUGAGUGGAUCCUGAGUACGGCGGAACACGUGAAAUUCCGUCGGAAUCCGGGAGGACCAUCUCCCAAGGCUAAAUACUCCCUAGUGACCGAUAGUGAACCAGUACCGUGAGGGAAAGGUGAAAAGCACCCCGGAAGGGGAGUGAAAGAGAUCCUGAAACCGUGUGCCUACAAGUAGUCAGAGCCCGUUAACGGGUGAUGGCGUGCCUUUUGUAGAAUGAACCGGCGAGUUACGAUCCCGUGCAAGGUUAAGCAGAAGAUGCGGAGCCGCAGCGAAAGCGAGUCUGAAUAGGGCGAAUUGAGUACGUGGUCGUAGACCCGAAACCAGGUGAUCUACCCAUGUCCAGGGUGAAGUUCAGGUAACACUGAAUGGAGGCCCGAACCCACGCACGUUGAAAAGUGCGGGGAUGAGGUGUGGGUAGGGGUGAAAUGCCAAUCGAACCUGGAGAUAGCUGGUUCUCUCCGAAAUAGCUUUAGGGCUAGCCUCAAGGUAAGAGUCUCGGAGGUAGAGCACUGAUUGGACUAGGGGCCCCUACCGGGUUACCGAAUUCAGUCAAACUCCGAAUGCCGAUGACUUAUCCUUGGGAGUCAGACUGCGAGUGAUAAGAUCCGUAGUCGAAAGGGAAACAGCCCAGACCGCCAGCUAAGGUCCCAAAGUAUACGUUAAGUGGAAAAGGAUGUGGAGUUGCUUAGACAACCAGGAUGUUGGCUUAGAAGCAGCCACCAUUUAAAGAGUGCGUAAUAGCUCACUGGUCGAGUGACUCUGCGCCGAAAAUGUACCGGGGCUAAACGUAUCACCGAAGCUGCGGACUGUUCUUCGAACAGUGGUAGGAGAGCGUUCUAAGGGCUGUGAAGCAAGACCGGAAGGACUUGUGGAGCGCUUAGAAGUGAGAAUGCCGGUAUGAGUAGCGAAAGAGGGGUGAGAAUCCCCUCCACCGAAUGCCUAAGGUUUCCUGAGGAAGGCUCGUCCGCUCAGGGUUAGUCGGGACCUAAGCCGAGGCCGAAAGGCGUAGGCGAUGGAUAACAGGUUGAUAUUCCUGUACCACCUCCUCACCAUUUGAGCAAUGGGGGGACGCAGGAGGAUAGGGUAAGCGCGGUAUUGGAUAUCCGCGUCCAAGCAGUUAGGCUGGGAAAUAGGCAAAUCCGUUUCCCGUGAAGGCUGAGCUGUGAUGGCGAGCGAAUUAUAGUAGCGAAGUUCCUGAUUCCACACUGCCAAGAAAAGCCUCUAGCGAGGUGAGAGGUGCCCGUACCGCAAACCGACACAGGUAGGCGAGGAGAGAAUCCUAAGGUGAUCGAGAGAACUCUCGUUAAGGAACUCGGCAAAAUGACCCCGUAACUUCGGGAGAAGGGGUGCUCUGUUAGGGUGCAAGCCCGAGAGAGCCGCAGUGAAUAGGCCCAGGCGACUGUUUAGCAAAAACACAGGUCUCUGCGAAGCCGUAAGGCGAAGUAUAGGGGCUGACG